UGAUGGCAUUUUUUGUGCAGACUGAGUCAAUUGAGUGUCAUUUCGUUAUGAUGGAAUUGUUUGCAUCUAUUUUUUACUUUUAAGUAUAUUAUUCUGAUAGCCCACGUGCAACAUUAAAUGUUGUAUCUUUUUUUAUAGCUUUCCCAAAUAUUUGAUUAGGGUUGGAGCCACAUAAAUAGUAUAAUUUUUCUGGUUUCUUCUAUCUUCUAAUUACCUCUCCCUUCUCCAAAAUCUUGCAAAUGAAUAUUGAGAUACAGGUAAAGUGUUUGGAGUUAUUUGUCGAAUGCAGUAUUAGUGAAGGAAUGACUUAAUUAUUGAUCUUGAUUUAUUGUGGAUAUUCGGUGUAUGCACAGAAGGUGUUUGACAAAAUAAUUUAGAGAUGCACAGUAUGUAAUUGUGAAUUGGUUAAGAAAUUAUAUUUUCAUUUAUAUGUGUUAGUUGAGUGAAGAACGAUAAUUGCAGAUACAAAGUAUGUUUCGAUUUUUUAUUUCACUGCCAGAAUACAAGGGGAGCACAUGAAAGAUAGUAAUAAGAAACAUAAAACUUGUAUAACUUAUAUAAGACAAUUCUAAUCAUAAUAUACUUGUUAUCUUAUACUCAAAGUUGAGGGCAUUUUUUUGUCCAUUGAU
Humulus lupulus (European hop) is the source of this 629-nucleotide long non-coding RNA. RefSeq lists it as uncharacterized. The transcript has 3 exons. NCBI's taxonomy places the organism in Eukaryota, Viridiplantae, Streptophyta, Magnoliopsida, Rosales, Cannabaceae. The record is from RefSeq and is a predicted model, not a curated record.